GCUAUACACUCUAAAAAACGCUGGGUUGUUUUUUCAACCCAAAUGCUGGGUUGAGGCCGCUGGAUAGGAUUUUGGGAUGUUUUAACCCAAGUUUGGGUUGAAAAUUGUUCUCCGUUUUAACCCAGCGGGGCUGGGUUGAGAACGCGGACGUGAAGGAGAGCACGCACGUCACGUCAAGAUCGUACGUCUCCAGUGCGAGCAGCCGCCAUUUUCUCAGCGUGAAAGAAGCGAGAAGCAAGUGAAAGACUAUGACUUGUUGAGCUCGUGUCUUCAUUGUCCUCGCGCCGAGAGUUAAAGACACAGAAGCUGUUUGUGUGAGGAGUCUUAGACUGUGAGGAGGAGGAUGUUCUUCUGAAGAGAGGGACAGAAGGGUUUAAGGAGAGUAAACUUCAGAAUAACAACGUUAUAUUUAUUUUUACUAAGACUAAAAUAAUGUUUGUUUUUGUUGAAAUCCAGAGACAAGAUAACUUCAUUCUUUUGAGACUGAUAACUCAAACUAACUGGAGUUAAGGACACAGAAGUCUGCUUGUGUGAGGAGGAGGUUUUCUCAGCUUCUUCUGAAGAGAGGGAAAGAUAGUUUAAGGCAAGUAAACUUCAUAAUUUCAUGUUAUCAGCUGUUGUUGUUUUUUACUAAUAGUAAAAUAAUGUUUGUUUUUUGUAGAUGUUAAAAGCCAGAGACAUGGGAGAGCAUCAUUCUUUUGGGAUUUUAUAACUCAAACCAACUUUGGAGUUGUCUUGUCUGAUUUGGAGAGUCUUCAUUCUUGGUCUUCCCUCUUAAAGACCACUGAUGAAGAACAGGCGGUGACUGGAUGAAUGCAGGUCAAAGAAGAGAACGUCCUUUCCCCUAAACUGAUGCAGCAGUGGUUUCAAAGGAGGACGCUGCCCUGGAUGAUGUAGAAGAUGUCACAUGUGCUGAUGGGGCUUCUUAAUGACUGCAUCAAUUAUGCUAAAGAGAUCAUGAAAAUUGACCGUGAUGCUUGAUCUGUAUUCAUGGACUAUGAAACAAACUGUAAGUGUAUAAUUUGUAAAAACAA
Long non-coding RNA from Carassius carassius (crucian carp), 1034 nucleotides. RefSeq lists it as uncharacterized. The record is from RefSeq and is a predicted model, not a curated record. The transcript has 5 exons. NCBI's taxonomy places the organism in Eukaryota, Metazoa, Chordata, Actinopteri, Cypriniformes, Cyprinidae.